ACUCAAAGGAAUAGACGGGGACCCGCACAAGCAGUGGAGUAUGUGGUUUAAUUCGAAGCAACGCGAAGAACCUUACCAAGACUUGACAUCUCCUGAAUUACCGGUAAAUCGGGAAGUCCUACGGGACAGGAAGACAGGUGGUGCAUGGUUGUCGUCAGCUCGUGUCGUGAGAUGUUGGGUUAAGUCCCGCAACGAGCGCAACCCUUAUUGUUAGUUGCUACAUUCAGUUGAGCACUCUAACGAGACUGCCGUUGACAAAACGGAGGAAGGUGGGGAUGACGUCAAAUCAUCAUGCCCCUUAUGUUUUGGGCUACACACGUACUACAAUGGCCGUUAACAACGGGAAGCUAAGGAGCGAUCCGGAGCAAAUCCCCAAAAACGGCCUCAGUUCAGAUUGCAGGCUGCAACCCGCCUGUAUGAAGUCGGAAUUGCUAGUAAUCGCGGAUCAGCAUGCCGCGGUGAAUACGUUCCCGGGUCUUGUACACACCGCCCGU
This 494-nucleotide ribosomal RNA is filed under the name uncultured bacterium. Its description in RNAcentral is "bacterial SSU rRNA". It matches the Rfam family "Bacterial small subunit ribosomal RNA", at positions 899 to 1397 of the family's 1533-position model. The record is from RNAcentral.